This 253-nucleotide ribosomal RNA is filed under the name uncultured bacterium. Its description in RNAcentral is "partial 16S ribosomal RNA". It matches the Rfam family "Archaeal small subunit ribosomal RNA", at positions 474 to 727 of the family's 1478-position model. The record is from RNAcentral.
UACCAGCACCCCGAGUGGUCGGGACGAUUAUUGGGCCUAAAGCAUCCGUAGCCGGCCUUACAAGUCCCCCGUUAAAUCCAACUGCUUAACAGAUGGGCUGCGGAGGAUACUAUAAGACUAGGAGGCAGGAGAGGCAAGCGGUACUCAGUGGGUAGGGGUAAAAUCCGUUGAUCCAUUGAAGACCACCAGUGGCGAAGGCGGCUUGCCAGAAUGCGCUCGACGGUGAGGCGCGAAAGCUAGGGGAGCAAACGGG